AGCAUAUGUGUGUGGGGUUGGUUUUUUUUAUUUUCCUUAAAAAUGAGGUAAACACAGGUGUUACUAAUGACAUUAAUGAAGGUUUUGUUUAAUAUAGCCUUAAUCUAAGUGAUUAGUACCACCUGUGUUUAUCUACUGUUUCAUGUGAAAGAGGUCUGUCGGAGGCUCUGGCUACAUGCAGUCAUGGUAAAAAAAAAGAAAGUAUCCUUUUUUCAGUUUGAAGGUUUCAGGUAUGAGGACAUAAAAAUUCUGAGGAAGUUUUAAAAUGAGGACAAGAAAAACACUGCAGCUGAAAGACCAGGAAAGGAAGGAUUCAGGAAAUGUGACCAUCUGAGGAGCACGGGAAUGCACAAUGAGGGAUGGGCGCAACACAUGGGCACGUAGCGUAUCACAGGGGAUGCCACAUCUGUGAUGCCUCACAACAUCCCGGCUCAAAGACUAGCAUAUUGGGCCCCUUGCUUCCAAGGCUAUUGCUCAUUUACAGUCUCAUCUUUGUUCAUAUCCAAAUUCUGCUACCUGUCCCGCCCACACGAUGUGAGAUCAAAGGCUUCUGACUUGGAACAAUGGCAAACAGGAACCCAAACAGGAUGUGGAACCAAAAUCUCACAGAGGCACGCUGAAUGGCAAAUGCGAGCCGUUGACGUUUGUGCGCGGUCGUUACAAAGCCCAUUUUCAAAAAUGGAUUGUUAGUGAAGAAAAGGUGUGACCUUGAUCCCAUCCCCCCUUCAGAGUAAAGCCCUUUCAAAGCAGUGGUAAUGCACUUGCCACAUCCCCUUCCUGAGCCUUAAAUGUUUGGGAUUUUAUGGCGAAAUGGCACGGCAGUGUGCAUUAAAGCACACGAUAAGUUGAUCCAGAGUUAGAAACACAAAACUAAAGAACAGCUGAGUUGCUCGCUUUCUGUCACCGCAAACCUCAUUUUUUAAAAAAACAACAAAAAACCCUUCAGUCAUUUCACCAUAGACUUGUAAAAGAGAGCGAGACCCCCAAUUUUCCGUCCAGGUUUAACAAACCCCAUCAUUUAACCUGCAUCAGCAACUGCAGUCGCAACCAUCAACCCAGACAACCAGUGACUGUGGUCAAUCAGCGGCCCACGUCUGGAUCCUGAGUAGACGCCACUGUGGAAACUGAUCCCUUCACCGUUUAACCAAUCAAGUGACCUUACACUACUUUAUACUAACGAUGUCAUGUUUAGACAACGGCUGCUUGGCCAUGGUGAGCUGGACGGUACCCAUAAGAGGGGAAUUAACAGAGUUAUCACUGUAAGGCAUAAACUGGAUCUGCAUUGUCAUUGUGGACUUAUAAACGUCCUGUCGGAAGGCUUGAGAGGAGUAGCUGCUCUUUUAUCCAGCGGUACAGACAUUGUAUUUUCCUCACCAAUCAAACAGCAAGAAACUGAAGAGAUUAUGUAUCUCACUGUGCUUUGCGGAAUAAAGAAGACAGGGGCUUGACACUGAAAGCCAGAAACCCAAUCUGCUGCCGCUGCGGUGAAGCAGCGCCCGGAUGCUGUGCUGCCAAAGGGCACUGAGGACAUGAGGCGUGAUAGCCGGCCGGGCCGCGUUGGGGAAUUCUGCGUGCAUCCUCCCCACAACUGAAGGGAAGGCAUCUUUUGUAAAGAGAGGGAGCGCCUUUGUCCUCCUUUGGUGUUUACGUUUGUCUUAAAUUUCACCUAGUGCACAGCGCGGCUCCACCAAGCCACAGGAUAGGCAUUGUUCUGGGCCCCGUGCAGGAAUGGUAGCCUGCAGUCACCUUCUUUCUGACUGUCGCCAUUGUCCCACCACCAACCCCCCAAACUUCUUUGUUUUUGCUCCCUGCCUCAGACAGCUCAGAUUGUUGCCUGAUGUUGCUUCCUCUCUUCCCAUUGUUUCCAUGUCUCCUCUAAUGUAU
Molecule: long non-coding RNA, 1884 nt
Organism: Oreochromis niloticus (Nile tilapia)
Lineage: Eukaryota; Metazoa; Chordata; Actinopteri; Cichliformes; Cichlidae
Exons: 3
Source: RefSeq, a predicted model, not a curated record